Molecule: unclassified non-coding RNA, 295 nt
Filed under: Entoloma sp.
Lineage: Eukaryota; Fungi; Basidiomycota; Agaricomycetes; Agaricales; Entolomataceae
Description: partial contains 5.8S ribosomal RNA, internal transcribed spacer 2, and large subunit ribosomal RNA
Source: RNAcentral
CGCACCUUGCGCUCCUUGGUAUUCCGAGGAGCAUGCCUGUUUGAGUGUCGUGAAAUUCUCAACCUCCCGUACUUUCACAAGUUCGCUAGGAUUGGAUUAUGGGAGUUGCUGGUUUCUCGGAAAUCAGCUCUUCUUAAAUGCAUUAGCACAGUCUUUGCUGACCAUCUUUGGUAUGAUAAUUAUCUAUACCAUUGAGAAUCAGUUUUCCGCAAUGGAAGGAUUUUGCUUCUAAUCGUCUUUGCAGACAACUUGACAAUUUGACCUCAAAUCAGGUAGGACUACCCGCUGAACUUAA